Molecule: ribosomal RNA, 400 nt
Filed under: uncultured bacterium
Lineage: Bacteria
Description: bacterial SSU rRNA
Rfam family: Bacterial small subunit ribosomal RNA
Source: RNAcentral
UGAGGAAUCUUGCGCAAUGGGCGAAAGCCUGACGCAGCGACGCCGCGUGAAGGAUGAAGGUCUUCGGAUUGUAAACUUCUGUUAAGUGGGAAGAAACCCAUACGUUGACAACGCGUAUGGUCUGACGGUACCACUAGAGAAAGCACCGGCUAACUUCGUGCCAGCAGCCGCGGUAAUACGAAGGGUGCGAGCGUUAUUCGGAUUUAUUGGGCGUAAAGGGUGCGUAGGCGGCACAUUAAGUCAACUGUUUAAUUUCCCGGCCUAACCGGGAGUCAGCGGUAGAUACUGGUGAGCUAGAGCAUGAAAGAGAGAAGUGGAAUUCCUGGAGUAGCGGUAAAAUGCGUAGAUCUCAGGAGGAACACCGAUGGCGAAGGCAGCUUCUUGGUUCAUUGCUGACGCU